Molecule: ribosomal RNA, 253 nt
Filed under: uncultured bacterium
Lineage: Bacteria
Description: partial 16S ribosomal RNA
Rfam family: Bacterial small subunit ribosomal RNA
Source: RNAcentral
GACGUAGGGCGCGAGCGUUGUCCGGAUUUAUUGGGCGUAAAGAGCUCGUAGGCGGCUUGUCGCGUCGUCCGUGAAAACCCGGGGCUCAACCCCGGGCCUGCAUUCGAUACGGGCAGACUAGAGUUCGGUAGGGGAGUCUGGAAUUCCUGGUGUAGCGGUGAAAUGCGCAGAUAUCAGGAGGAACACCGGUGGCGAAGGCGGGACUCUGGGCCGAUACUGACGCUGAGGAGCGAAAGCGUGGGGAGCGAACAGG